UACGUAGGGUGCAGGCGUUAAUCGGAAUUACUGGGCGUAAAGCGUGCGCAGGCGGUUUGCUAAGACAGGUGUGAAAUCCCCGGGCUUAACCUGGGAACUGCGCUUGUAACUGGCAAGCUAGAGUGUGGCAGAAGGGGGUGGAAUUCCAGGUGUAGCAGUGAAAUGCGUAGAGAUCUGGAGGAACACCGAUGGCGAAGGCAGCCCCCUGGGCUAACACUGACGCUCAUGCACGAAAGCGUGGGGAGCAAACAGG
This 253-nucleotide ribosomal RNA is filed under the name uncultured bacterium. Its description in RNAcentral is "partial 16S ribosomal RNA". It matches the Rfam family "Bacterial small subunit ribosomal RNA", at positions 524 to 776 of the family's 1533-position model. The record is from RNAcentral.